RNAcentral lists this ribosomal RNA (497 nucleotides) under uncultured bacterium. RNAcentral describes it as "partial 16S ribosomal RNA". It matches the Rfam family "Bacterial small subunit ribosomal RNA", at positions 28 to 507 of the family's 1533-position model. The record is from RNAcentral.
GAUGAACGCUGGCGGCGUGCCUAAUACAUGCAAGUCGAGCGAACAGAUGAGGAGCUUGCUCCUCUGACGUUAGCGGCGGACGGGUGAGUAACACGUGGAUAACCUACCUAUAAGACUGGGAUAACUUCGGGAAACCGGAGCUAAUACCGGAUAAUAUAUUGAACCGCAUGGUUCAAUAGUGAAAGACGGUUUUGCUGUCACUUAUAGAUGGAUCCGCGCCGCAUUAGCUAGUUGGUAAGGUAACGGCUUACCAAGGCAACGAUGCGUAGCCGACCUGAGAGGGGGAUCGGCCACACUGGAACUGAGACACGGUCCAGACUCCUGCGGGAGGCAGCAGUAGGGAAUCGUCCGCAAUGGGCGAAAGCCUGACGGAGCAACGCCGCGUGAGUGAUGAAGGUCUUCGGAUCGUAAAACUCUGUUAUUAGGGAAGAACAAAUGUGUAAGUAACUAUGCACGUCUUGACGGUACCUAAUCAGAAAGCCACGGCUAACUACGUG